Long non-coding RNA from Temnothorax curvispinosus, 716 nucleotides. RefSeq lists it as uncharacterized. The transcript has 3 exons. The record is from RefSeq and is a predicted model, not a curated record. NCBI's taxonomy places the organism in Eukaryota, Metazoa, Arthropoda, Insecta, Hymenoptera, Formicidae.
CGAUAGUAUUGGAUAGUAUCCAUACUUUGACCGAGAACGAGAAGCCGCAAAGGUGACGACUGACGAGUGACGCUGAGAGAUUGUUUCGAACGUUGGGCUUAAAAAAUUUUCAACGAUAAGCGUCGAGCCUAAUCUAAUCUUUUCACAUAUACUUCGAACAAAAUGUUCACCCAAUGUUAUCCGUCGUUAAUGUGUGAUAACUAUCAGCGCGAUACGACGGCAAAUUUGCAGCGAAUACUGCGAGCAAGAUUUGCUGUUACGUAGCUCGACACGCUUCUUUAAACACUUUUAAAAGAAAAAAAGAUGAAUUCAAGAACGACGAAUCGCGAAUCCCUCCGUUGCGUGAUAGUAAUUACUUGGCAAUUGACGCUCCGUGGAAAAACUUUCUGUCGAGGAAACUGAGCGAAGCCUUCCCGGGGAAGAAAGGGUUAAUCGUGCGCGCUACUGACGGGGACGUUCGAGCAGAGCCGAGGCGAGGGAGGGAGCUAGCCCAUCACGUUUCCCAACGAACAGACGCGAGAGAAAGAAGAUCAAUUUACGGGGGCGACGCGGGCGCAAGCUGAGAGCUCUCGACGACGGACAACGGUCUGACGGAUCUUCGCUCCUCGCGCAGCAUCGAAAUCGGGCAAGCGCUUAAAUCGGGUCGUCGGCAUCGCUCGCGCUCGUCGCCGACGGCGCGGCGGUGCUCGCUCGCCCGCUCGCUCGUUGGCGCGUAA